This is a long non-coding RNA of Psammomys obesus (fat sand rat), 6955 nucleotides long. RefSeq lists it as uncharacterized. The record is from RefSeq and is a predicted model, not a curated record. The transcript is spliced from 3 exons. Lineage: Eukaryota; Metazoa; Chordata; Mammalia; Rodentia; Muridae.
GCCACAUGGCAGGCUGGGGGCGUCUGCCUGUCCUGAAAGAGGGAAAAGUCUGACACUGCAGAGGGUGCAGGAAGUCAUGAACAGUGAGAGGUGGCCUAGAGAAGCGUCAGUCCUUCCCAUCAGAGGACAGACAGAGCCAAGGAGAAGGCAGGUAUGAGGAAGAGCGUGAAAGGAGUCAAGACUCAUGCCUCCCUCCAUGAAAAGAGUAUCAACAACAACAACAAUAACAAAAAUGACGCGGGGGGAGGGAGACGGAGGAGGAAGAAACCUGCUCAAGCCAGCCACAGCAAGUGUUUAAGUAAAGGUAAAAAUCAGCAUUUUUUUUCCUGUGAAGUCAGAGUGAAGGUAGCUUGGAAGAGGAUUUUAUUUACACAAAAUCAUACCCACCUACCCACCGACCUACACCCCUCCAAAAAAAAAAAAAAAAAAAAAAGAAUAGAAAAGAAAAAAAAAAAGAAAGAGAGAGAGAAAAAAAAAAACAAGAAGAAAGGUGUUGUCUGCAGUGUUUGGUUCCUCAGUACUUUGAAAACAUAAAUAGAUAAAACGGUUUAGGGAUUUCCAGAUGACCACUCGGGAGUCCCAGUGUGUGGCGGUGGCGGCAGAAGCUUUCCUGUGAAAGGGGUGCUAGAACUUCAGUUGGUUUGGAGUUAUUGUCCCCCAACACAGGGCUACCAAGGGUUUCAGUGUUUGCCUUUCAGGAGGGAGGCCAAGGCGCGGCCGUCUAGCCUCAGACCUUUUAGUUCUCCACUUGAGCCGGCUCGGUCCUGCUGUAGACUGCGCCCUUCUCCGGGCAGCCUGCUCAUUAUUGAGAGGGCCAGCAAGCAGCGUGUGGUCAGGGUCUCUUGAUUCGGAGCCACUGGGCAGAGCAAAGCCAAGGCCAAGCUGGAGACUUUGUGGGCCUAAUGGGCCCGGAGUGCGCUUGCUGUGCUCAGCCUUCUUUCUUGCCCGAAAGGAAACAAGGGAGCUCAGGUCCGCGCACUACCAGAAGCGUUUGGGCUGCUUUCGGCUUUUGUUCGCUUUAAAAACCCAGCUUCACUGUUUCGUUGCGCUCUCAGAGAAGCCUCUGACCUCCUCUGUGUACGACUCUUCCCUAAGUUCUUGUUUGCUUAUUUUACUUAUUUAUUUAUUUAUUUGUUUAUUUAUUUAUUCAUUCAUUCAUUUAUUUAUUCAUUCAUUUAUUUUUAAGAGACAGUGGAACCGUGGGAGAACGUUUACCCUGAGCUGGAAGGUUGUUUUGUUUUGUUUUGUUUUGUUUUGUUUUGUUUUAAAUGGUGACCUAUUGUCAGAGGUCGCAAGUUGACUGUGAUCUGGGGUUGCUGCCCUCGAGGGUUCCUGCCCUGGAGAGCUUGGUUAAGAAGUUGCUCAAGGGACAUCCUAUGGCAGUCCUUGGCAAGGUUUCAGGGGUCGCAUCCCUACCAGGGAUGGAAACACUCUUGUUUUGUGAACAAAGCGGGUUACCUACCAGAUCACAACAUUAAGGUGUUUUGUUGUUGUUGUUAAAGACAGUCAGGCCAGCUCUAAGCCAUGUAGGAGUUACAUUGUUACAUCCAGGACCUCUCCCAUUCUGCUUGGAAUCUCGGAAGACUCGGAGAUUCCACCACAAGUUCAGACUCGGUCCCUUCUUUAGCUGGGAGGGGACCAGUUCCAGGCAGGUCAAGAGCUCCUUUCAAGCUCUUCCCACUCCCUUAAAUUCUUGCUUGUGUCCAAUUUGUAUCUUAAGCGCCUCCAGGAGAAGCCCCUUCAAAUUCAGGGGGCAAAACCUUUCUUUCAAAACCCAGCUGGGUGCCUCCAUCCUUCCCAGUGGGAAAGAGAGAGACUGGGAGCCCUCUAGGAGCCCCUUCUCAGCACUGUGCACACUGCCCCCUCCAUUUGGGACUCCGUUCAAAUGUUUUACACUUGAGAGAAGCUCAGGGCUUCUCUCUAUCCCCCUACAGUGGUUUCUUGACCAGAAGGUAGCAGCAGCUCCCACAGACAUCCGACCUCCGUCUCCUAAAUUUCCAGAAUAAGAAGUGCCUUUGGUGGGCUCUUGGGUGAGGAUUGCCUCCAGGGGCCAAGUUCUCUUUUGCUUUGCACACGGGGCCUGACCAGCCAGUCUGUCAAUCAGCCUGUAUAGCUGCACACCCAAGCCUUGGCCAGGACAAGAUUCGAAUCUUCAAAGAUUUGAAUUUAGAAAACCAAUCAGAGCAAUUUCUACACUUUUCCUUUUUCCCCCCACCUAUAUGCAUAUGUCCAUAGUUGAAAAAACACGAGCUCUUUUUUAAUUUAGGUCUUCUCUUCCACCAUUUUAGGGCUUGAAGUGUGUGUAUGUAUGUAUGUGUGUGUGUGUUUGAGUGUAUAUUCAUGCAAUAUUGCUCAUAGAUAUGAAUAUGUAUAGAGUUGAUAAUGUUUAUAAAUUGUCUAGUAUUAGUCUUAGAGUGUAAACUAAAUGAAAAAUCACCCCAGUGUGUAGAAAGGAGAAGCAAGUCUAAGUAUUUAGGAGUUAGUCGUUAAUUAUUAAAUCUAAAACUCUUAUGAAAUUUCUUUGCUUGAUACAAAUGAAGCACCGGGAUUAUGUUGUUGUUGUUCUUUUAUUGUUAAUACGAACCCAAAUUCUCUUUUACUAAAAGAAAGUUCUGAGACUAGGAUGCACUUUCUUUUCUGAUGACUGUCAUCCACAGCAUAACAGUCAUGUUAUGUCAGGAUAUCUGGGGGUGGGGGGAGAGAGAGAAAGGGAAAGGGAAAGAGAGAAAGAGAAGCCCUACAGCCAUGACCAUCUUUGCAUCAAAAUUUUUCAGACCUCUAUUUUUGAUUGUGAUCCUACUGAUCUGAGUUUGAAAUGCGAGCGCAGUGAAGCCCCUAAGCCUUCAAUCCUGUGAAAUUUUCAAAAGAUCUCUAGAAGCAAUCUCAGGCUGCCUGACCCCUGACAGGCACCGAUCUCUUUAUUCCUCGGGCUGCCAGCACUUCAUUUGUUGGAAUAUCUUUCAGAUUUGCACCUCCAGAUGACAAACCUGAGUGUUUAUUAUGUGAACAUGAAUCGGAAAUCUCCAAGCCCGUACAAAAGCACCAUCUUAAACAAAAUAUUUAAUUUCUCAGCCUAAGUGCCAGCUUCUUUAUUUGCUUUUCAUUAGCUUAAAUAUUUUUUUCAGGUCUCUCCGAGUGUCACUUUGAUAUUUAGAUGAUUCUCUUUUUUAAUCAUUAUUUUCCCCUUGGGGGGGGAAGUCUUCUGUCUCCGGUGUCUGCAAGUGCUCAUAUAACAUCACAGUGCUGCAUUUAGCCAGGGCUCACUGCCUGACGUCUAACACUGAAAAAGGGGACUCAUCUCCGAAAAGGGUGGGGGCAAGUUCCACACCAGAAAAAAAAAAAAAAAAACAAUGUUCGGUUUUUGUUUUGUUUUAAACCAGCAGUCAGGGCUGGCUAUGGAUCAAUGAUGACCCCUCCAUUUCAUUUCACUUUUAUUUUUCUCCUGGCCUUUGAGAUUCCUUUUAUUAUUAUUUAAAAAACAAAACAAGACCUCAGAGAAAGUGCAGGGAAAAACCUUCCUCAUUUCGAGCAUGCCUAGCUUGGAGCUGGUGUCUCCGUGAGUGUGUCGAGUUUUAAAUGCCUGUCUUGAUCAGUGACUCCUGUCCUGGGCAUUCAUUCCCGUCUUGCCACUCUGGGGCUAGAGGGGCACUAGAGGGAAAGGAGAUGGGCAUAUUUCCUCAACUGCUGUAUUUAAAUGACCUCUGCCAAAUAAAUAUUCCCCCCCACAAGACACUGAGGUGGAGACACUGGCCACCCUUGCCCUAGUUUCAGCCUCUGACAGGAAGUUUUGGAGCCCAACAGGUCGCUCUGGUGAAUUGAGUUGAGCCAGGGAGGCAAGGCUGCAUCCGAGAGGAUCCUGGGGAUGAAUCACCAAUAUGAAGCAGUCCCAGGUCCAGAGAAGGGGCCCUGUCACCGCCUGGACCCGAGCCUUUGACAUCUCGGAUUGGCCUCGCUGCAGGCACAAAUAACACCAGCGCCAUCCUGGUCUCUCGGCGUCAGCUCCCUGCCUGAGUCUCAGGACCUGAAGCCCAGUGCCCAAAUGCGAAGAGCAACGAGUUGGGGGGUGGGGUAUGAGCAAGACUCCUGGAAAGAAGAGUGGGAGGGUAGGAGAGUCAUUACGCGGAGGAGGAAAGAGGGAGGGUUAGGAUGGGAGGAACUAGGACGGUGACACCUGGUAGGCAUUGUCCCUGCAAGAGACACCUGUCAAUCUCCGCUCAGGGGUCCUGGGGCCAGCGGCGGAGAGACUGCGGUUCUCUUUGGUGAUGUCAUCUUGGAGUCUCUUCCCUAAGGAGGGUGAGAAUGGCUCCGAGGGCGCUGAGCCCAGAGGGCUUAGAGAAACGUGGGGGAAGGAAAAGAGAAAAUAAACAGAAGUAGCUCUCCCGGCUGGCAAUUUACAUGGAAAUCAAUAAUCCAACUUUAAUGUUAUUUUUUAAUCUUGCCUGACCGUCUUGCCUUUUCACUAGGGGAGGAGGGAUGGGGUUACGGCAGCCCAUCCCUCCAACCCACAACAUCGCUGGGGAAGCCUUAUUAUCUCAGAUCCCGAUGUAACCGACCCUUUCCCCAGAUCCAGCCCCCCUCUUUUUUUUUUUUUUUUUUUUUUUUUUCCUGCGGGAUGUUCCAAACGCAGCCUUCAGGCUUGAGGAGGAAACACUUGGGGAUGAGUUCUGAAAGUCUUCCGAUACUGCACCGGGUGAAGGGGGAGUUAAUUAACGCCAGGCUUGCUCGGCGAGUGGGAGAGGGGCCCUCGGCGUGGGUGGGCGGGCCAGGUCGAACGCAGAGGUGCGUGCAGUGCGGGAGGCGCGGGAUCUGGAAGCCCGAGCUUGCAGGCCUUGGCUGGCAGGAGGUGAACGGAGGUGGCUCGGGCGGGAGACGCUGAGAUGCCCCCAAGGAAUCCCCACGGUUAAUCUGGGGAAUUCUGAUCUCCCACCUACUGAGCCCCCACUCCCAACCCACCGUGCGCUACAUUCUUUUCGGCCGGAGCUAAUUAGCAGCCUGCCAGCGGCCUGAUUUAUGGAAACGCUCGGGCGGGUGGAGACGCACCGCUCGCGGAGCUCAGGCUGCCUCCGGGAGGAGCGGAGGAGGAGUCUUCACCGACCUCCUCCGACGAAUUCCCCUCCUCCCUGCCGGGGGAAAAAAAAAAUGGAAGUUGCUGUUUCACUGGUUCGACCUGGCUGGUCCAGGGGUCUACCCUCGCCCUAGCUACCUUAACCUGGAGCGCGGGGAUGUCUAGGUUCCCGUGAGGAAGGCGGGGACUCUAAGUACCGCAGUAGUUGAAGUUGCAAGGGUUGAGACCACUAGGUUCCAGCUCCAGCUGACCCACAGGGUCAGCUAGAACCAGAGCCUUCCAGGCCCGAGUUGAAUCUCCGUCAGGGGUCCCGAAUGAAGGGACAGCGGGUUUGAAGGUGCCGCCGGAGGCGCCGCAGGGCCAAAUCACAUCUCCAGGCAGGAAGAAGAGAUGGGAGACCCCGCCCGCAGCAGAGGGACAGACCCCCAAACUCAAGUGUCUUUGUCUUGAUCCUAGGGACGGGCCGCGGUCUUUUCCACUUUCUAGUUGUUUCUUUAUGGUGUCGCUCCCCUCCCCCCGUCCCCCAGUGACAUCCUCUAUUCGGUCCAAGCGAGCGCCCAGGGAAGGGCCAUUACUAGAAGCCCUUAGCCAAAAGCUUACGCAAAGAACCAGCGCAAUCUGAUAGUUGCCUUCCCAAGCUGUUGUGGAUGACCCAGGAGGAAAGGGGCAAGUUGUUCCCCCCUUUUCCCGUGGACUUUAGUAAUAAGGGUGGAGAGGAAAGGAUCAGCGAAGGGCAGAGACGAUUCUCAGCAUGGACCUGUUGCUGACGCUUAAGCAACCGUUCUGCUCUUCAGGACGACACUGGUUACCAGUGAUUCUCCAAGAUGCACCGGGACGGAUGCAACCGUGAGAACAUCUGUGCCCCCUGGAAGCGUUUGGAGGGGGAAAGACAAGCAGAACCAGAGGCCAGAGGCUUGGACAGCCUCAGUGUUGGGCUCCGGGUUCACUAGAAACUGAGCAGCACUGGUGGGAAGCGCGGAGAGAGCAGAAGUCCCUGGCAAGAAGACAUUCCCUGACCCUUAAGCCCCUUUCUCUCUCAACACCCAUCCCGACACCCCAGGCCUUGAGGUGGCUGAACUGGAAGUUGUGGAGAACCGACAUCUCUAAGAGCUCGUGUAAACUAUAUGUUAAAACACCCCAUCGGUUUGCCUAGUUCAGAAGUUUUGAUCUCCUGCCUGUUUCAAGAGCAGAAUCAUCAACCUUCACCUCUCUCCUCAAAACCGCAUCAUCUCCUACCUGUGGGCCCUCAGUUCCCUUUUUCUUUUUCUUGUGAGGACCAGUCAGAUACACACACACACACACACACACACACGCACACGCACACGCACACGGGGCGGGGGGAGGGGAAAGAAGACAGAGACACAGAGAAAGAAAGCAGAAAAAAAAAAUAAUUCCAAAUGGAAACAUUCAAGGAGUCUUCCAAACCCCUGGCAGACUGUUAAAACUGAGCCCGAUCUUUCCUCUAUAAUGUGGCAUCCAGUCCCUUGAUUGAGGAUGACCUCUCUGAAUUGCCCACUGUCCUAAGUAAGGCCUGUCAUCUGCCUGGCCUGGACAAUAGCCCAAAUCCACCACUGGUGAGAUGCAGGCUCACCAACAUGUCCCCUUUGGAUGUUCUGGUGUUUUGAUCCCCUAUUCCCAACCCCAACCCCAUUGCCAUUAUCCAGGCCAAAGCCUCACUGAGUCAGGUUGCUGACAGGCCACCUUCAGCACAGCAAAUGCUGGAGGUUAGGUGCCCAAAUAACAUUCCCCAUUUGUCUUUUUCAAAGUUGAUUUAUAGCAAUCGACAGGUUAAAGGCUCAUCUGACAUCAUUAUUUUUAAAAGCUGUCUAUUUCACAACUGUCACCUUUCAUCACUUAGCACAAAUAAAUACUUGAAGAAGUGAAUUGGAA